AAUUUUCUUAAUAUUUAGAUUUCCCGAAGAUUUUUGAGCUAUAGUUUUUAAAAUUUUUAACUGUUGAAGUAGUUUUAUUUGAAAAAGACUAUAGGAAUGAAAUAUUUUCAAAAAAAUAGAUAUCUGGAUUUAGUUUAAAGGUAUAUAGUACAUAAAUAUAUAUAUUUAGGGUGAUUAGAUCUUAAAUGUAAUGAGAUAAUAUUAUUCUGUUUUAAGGCAAAUGUAAUGCUUAAAGCUUUAUUAAUUUAUUAUUGAUUUUAUUAAUGUUCCAGUAUUAUAAACUACUAACUAAUACCAUUAAGAAUUAGUUUAAUAUUGUUUAAAUUAGUAGGAGAAUUAAAAUUAAAAUAAGGAACUCGGCAAAAAUAUACUUCACCUGUUUAACAAAAACAUAGUUUUUAGUUCUCUAUAUUAAAAAUAACCCCUGCCCAGUGCUUAUAGUUAACGGCCGCAGUACUUUGACUGUGCUAAGGUAGCAUAAUAAAUUGGCUUUUAAUUGAAGUCGGGUAUGAAUGGGGUUUUGGAGUUAAGCUGUCUCUUAUUAAAAUUUCUUAAAUUACUUAAAAGGUGAAAAUUCCUUUAUAUUUUUAUUAGACGAGAAGACCCUAUGAAUUAUAAUUAAUAAAAUUAAAAUAUUUUUAAAUUUUUGUUGGGGCAACAGAUCAGGAUAUUUAUUUUAAAACCUGGUUAAUUUUAGUGCUAUUAGUAGAUAAUUUAUAAGAAUAAAUUUAAUUACCUUAGGGAUAACAGCAUAAUAUUAUUAUUUGUUUAUGACCUCGAUGUUGGAUUAGGGAAUUUAUUGGUUAGUCGCUAAUUACGUGGGUUCUGUUCGAACUAUCUCCCUUA
This 846-nucleotide ribosomal RNA is filed under the name Euxinolauria paulinae. Its description in RNAcentral is "partial 16S ribosomal RNA". The stretch from base 332 to 581 matches the Rfam family "Archaeal large subunit ribosomal RNA", at positions 1785 to 2143 of the family's 2987-position model. Lineage: Eukaryota; Metazoa; Mollusca; Gastropoda; Stylommatophora. The record is from RNAcentral.